AAGUCGUAACAAGGUUUUUUUAGGUGAACCUGCGGAAGGAUCAUGUGUCAUUGAUUGUGCAAGGAUGGCGGUUCUACGAUUCCUGUAGACCGUACACUCGGGCAGGAGCUUUGCCAAAGGGUCCCCAUGCCCCCUAAUAACCCACAGUUUAAUGUGAAGCUCAAUGUAAUACAUUGGGUAAAAAAACCGAACAACUGUUAACAAUGGAUAUCUUGGUUCUC
This 221-nucleotide unclassified non-coding RNA is filed under the name fungal sp. Its description in RNAcentral is "partial internal transcribed spacer region". The record is from RNAcentral. Lineage: Eukaryota; Fungi.